AUACUUCUGUAGUUCAUAAGCAUGAUGAUUGGGUUUUCAUGCACCUGCGUGAGAUGUGCCUCCCACAAAUCCCUUAUGAGGUCAGCACAUUACCCGUCUGACA
Molecule: small nucleolar RNA, 103 nt
Organism: Nycticebus coucang (slow loris)
Lineage: Eukaryota; Metazoa; Chordata; Mammalia; Primates; Lorisidae
Product: small nucleolar RNA U13
Exons: 1
Source: RefSeq, a predicted model, not a curated record